RNAcentral lists this long non-coding RNA (510 nucleotides) under Brachypodium distachyon (stiff brome). Its description in RNAcentral is "long non-coding RNA (BDIS_LNC002936)". Lineage: Eukaryota; Viridiplantae; Streptophyta; Magnoliopsida; Poales; Poaceae. The record is from RNAcentral.
CAUGUACCAAGGCCUUGGAGAAGAUCACCAGGAGCGUGGAAUAAAUUUUCAUAUGUAUUUUUCUUUUUUUAUAAAUUUCUAUAUGUAAUGCUGGAGAGAUCCAUUCAAGUUUUCUUUAGUUACAUUAAAUCUCGUACAAAAAUGACCCGCAAGAAUCGUUGAUAAUGCAAAAACACUGAAAAUAAUAAUGCAAAAACACUGAAAAUAAUAAUGCAACAAACACUGAAAAAAAGUGAGGUUGAUUACAAGUCACUGUGGGUCCCGCUUUGGAUAAAGGAAGAAAAAAAACCGAGAAAAAAAAUGAGCAAUAGCUUGUCAGAUAGGCCUAGAACCGGCCAUAAGUAUCAGUGUCGGGUGCCUCGGGGCCGACAGUGAUAACAAACAUUUUAAAAUCAAAAUUUCAACGGUAUAUGUUUGUAAAUUUGUUGAGUUCUUGCUUCGAGAGUCGUUUCUUGCCAGCCUCUUUCUUCAAGAGUUGAUGUGAGGGGCUAUUCGGUUGUUGAUUGAUGG